CGUGAGCGGCGGACGGGUGAGUAACGCGUGGGUAACCUGCCUCAUACAGGGGGAUAACAGUUGGAAACGGCUGCUAAUACCGCAUAAGCGCACAGUACCGCAUGGUACGGUGUGAAAAACUCCGGUGGUAUGAGAUGGACCCGCGUCUGAUUAGGUAGUUGGUGGGGUAACGGCCUACCAAGCCGACGAUCAGUAGCCGACCUGAGAGGGUGACCGGCCACAUUGGGACUGAGGCACGGCCCAA
Molecule: ribosomal RNA, 244 nt
Filed under: uncultured bacterium
Lineage: Bacteria
Description: partial 16S ribosomal RNA
Rfam family: Bacterial small subunit ribosomal RNA
Source: RNAcentral